GUCCACGCCCCGCGACGGACGGGCGCCUCGGCCAAUCGGCGCGCGGGGGCGGGCCCGGCGACCGGGAGGGACGCCUAGUCGGCGCGGCCGCUGCAGUCCGCCGCGGCGCCGGCCGGGGGUGUCCGGGGGCGAGCCUCAGCCCGGGGCGGCGCGGGGACCUUGGCCGGCGCUCCCGCGGCGCGCACGGCUGAGGCAGGGGGUGCAGACCUGGGCGUAGCGCCGGCGCCCUCCCGCGGGCCCCUCUCGCUUCCCCGCUGCGGCCGCGCUCGCCUAGCCCCGAAAGCGUCCUCCCUCCCGGGGCCCGCCGGGCUCCCGAGAGCCGGCAGCGGCUGAACGUCGGGAGCUGGGCGGUUCGCGCCGACGCCAAGCGUGCGGCUGCUCCUUUACUAGAUCAUUGUAAUACUUUGGAAAAUCCCAAAGUAGAACCACGCAAAAAUGGCCCUUGGCGUGCUGUGGGGAGCCCCAGGACUAGUCUGUCCUUCCAGAGCCUGUGUGAGAAGAAGAAGAACAGUGAUGUUCUGGGACCCUGUGGCAGGCAGGCACUCAGUCCUUGGGCUGAACGCAGAAGGAGGCUCCCAAGGGCUGGUGAAUCCUUGGUGGAGCUAACGAGGAAGCUGAGAGGAGCCAGAAAGAGAGAACAGGGAGAUCAUUCUGCAGCCCCACUCCAAGUGCAUCUGACAGCACAGUGAUUCAAAAUGUGGCCAGGUCUCAAGCACCUCCAGACACCAGGGGUCGAGAGGAUCCUGCCAUCAAGCAGACAGUCUGGGAAAACAUGAGGAGUCCCAGGGAGCCUGGGCAGGAGAGUUGUCCCAUGCCCCAUCCUUUAGGUAGCUCUGGCCCAUGAGAAGAUAAGAAACUGGACACCACCUACAAUAGGAUCAGAUAAGGCCACACCCUCCACUCAGCUCCUCCCAAGGGGCCACAGCCACCUGGAGCUACUGCACUUUCAGUUCCCAGAGUGACCACACCAUUUCACACAUCCACCCUAUACUCGUGCUUCCUCUUCCUAUCCCUCCCUGUCUCCUUCUUCCCUUCUUCCUGUUCUUUCUUCCUGAUUAUUGAACUGUAUGCUAAGCGCUGUCCUGGUCACUGAGUAAUAAACCAGACAGAAAUCCUGGCUUGGUAGAAUUUAUGAUCUUUGGACUCCUCUGCCCUAAACCUCUUCUUUUGGCACAAUCCUAUGAAUCCUUCCAUCCUGCAGCUGGGCAGGGCGCAUCCCCUCCAGAGGGGCCUUGCCAGGACUCCUUCUUGGCUCCA
Cavia porcellus (domestic guinea pig) is the source of this 1257-nucleotide long non-coding RNA. RefSeq lists it as uncharacterized. Lineage: Eukaryota; Metazoa; Chordata; Mammalia; Rodentia; Caviidae. The record is from RefSeq and is a predicted model, not a curated record. The transcript has 3 exons.